CUCUAAUUAAAUAUAUAUAAAAUUUACAAUUUUAAUUAUAUUAGAAA
Molecule: transfer RNA, 47 nt
Filed under: Tetranychus evansi (red spider mite)
Lineage: Eukaryota; Metazoa; Arthropoda; Arachnida; Trombidiformes; Tetranychidae
Description: tRNA-Val
Source: RNAcentral